GGUUACUGCUAUCGGAGUUCGAUUAAGCCAUGCGAGUCUAAAGGUUUCUUCGGAAACCUUGGCGGACUGCUCAGUAACACGUGGACAACCUGCCCUUGGGACUGGAAUAACCCCGGGAAACUGGGGAUAAUACCGGAUAGAUCAGGGAUGCUGGAAUGCACCUUGAUCCAAAGCUCCGGCGCCCAAGGAUGGGUCUGCGGCCUAUCAGGUAGUAGUGGGUGUAACGUACCUACUAGCCAACGACGGGUACGGGUUGUGAGAGCAAGAGCCCGGAGAUGGAUUCUGAGACACGAAUCCAGGCCCUACGGGGUGCAGCAGGCGCGAAAACUUUACAAUGUGCGAAAGCAUGAUAAGGGAACUCCGAGUGCCAGCAUCUAAUGUUGGCUGUCCUUGUGCCUAAAACGCACAAGAUAGCAAGGGCCGGGUAAGACCGGUGCCAGCCGCCGCGGUAACACCGGCGGCCCGAGUGGUAGCCGCUAUUAUUGGGUCUAAAGGGUCCGUAGCCGGUUCGAUAAGUCCUCUGGGAAAUCUGGUUGCUUAACAAUCAGACUGCCAAGGGAUACUGUCGAACUUGAGACCGGGAGAGGUAAGAGGUACUUCAGGGGUAGGAGUGAAAUCUUGUAAUCCCUGGGGGACCAUCUGUGGCGAAGGCGUCUUACCAGAACGGGUCUGACGGUGAGGGACGAAAGCUGGGGGCGCAAACCGGAUUAGAUACCCGGGUAGUCCCACCCGUAAACGAUGCUCGCUAUGUGUCAGGUACGGUGUGACCGUAUCUGGUGCCGUAGGGAAGCCGUGAAGCGAGCCACCUGGGAAGUACGGUCGCAAGACUGAAACUUAAAGGAAUUGGCGGGGGAGCACUACAACGGUGGAGC
RNAcentral lists this ribosomal RNA (872 nucleotides) under uncultured archaeon. RNAcentral's name for it is "bacterial SSU rRNA". It matches the Rfam family "Archaeal small subunit ribosomal RNA", at positions 21 to 894 of the family's 1478-position model. The record is from RNAcentral.